GAAUGUCAUAGUUUGGAUUGGAUUCAGGCCAAUUAACCUGUGCUGAGGGACUUGCGCAAGAUUUUUCCAGGCUUAGGAGCUAACCUCGAUCAGAUCUUUCCAGGACACUUAAGGAGAACUUGAAGGUCAAGAGUCUCUGGAAGAGAAGUGUUCAGACUGAGAAGGUGUGCCAGAGGAUCAGUCAGUCCUCAGGUAUACCUUCAAAGCAACUACUUCCUAUUUCUACCUCCUUGAGAAAGGCACAAAAUAUCCCCAUCUACAUCCUGUUUUGGUACCAGACUGAUGAAGAAGAAACUAAAAAGAAAGGACAGUUGGCCAACAGAAAAGUGCCAUGGAAGCGACAGAGCCAUGCUCUAAUAGAUCAAGUACAAGGCAGAUGAAGACUUGCUCCAGAUCCUUCACUGUUCAAAGGCUAAGAUGUUCUGAUGACGAGUUUCUAAUAGCUACAGCAGGCAUCCCAAACAGUUUAUUCUCCAGCAGAUUGCAGACGGAUAAAUUCUGACUCUGUCAUGCCACAAUGUUUAGGUGAAAAAACCAUAGGAGGCAAACAGGACCUGAAUAUUCAGAGGACUGGAUGAAUAACACACACAUGGGGGAAUGGUAAUUAACACCCAUGGACAGAGACCCAGUGAACGACGGAGGAUACAGCAGUGCUUAGAGG
This 661-nucleotide long non-coding RNA is filed under the name Rattus norvegicus (Norway rat). Its description in RNAcentral is "long non-coding RNA NONRATT032465". The record is from RNAcentral. Lineage: Eukaryota; Metazoa; Chordata; Mammalia; Rodentia; Muridae.